RNAcentral lists this ribosomal RNA (410 nucleotides) under uncultured microorganism. RNAcentral describes it as "bacterial SSU rRNA". It matches the Rfam family "Bacterial small subunit ribosomal RNA", at positions 509 to 917 of the family's 1533-position model. The record is from RNAcentral.
CAGCCGCCGCGGUAAUUCGUAGGGGGCGAGCGUUGUCCGGAAUUAUUGGGCGUAAAGCGCGCGCAGGCGGUCCUUUAAGUCUGAUGUGAAAGCCCACGGCUCAACCGUGGAGGGUCAUUGGAAACUGGGGGACUUGAGUGCAGGAGAGGAGAGCGGAAUUCCACGUGUAGCGGUGAAAUGCGUAGAGAUGUGGAGGAACACCAGUGGCGAAGGCGGCUCUCUGGCCUGUAACUGACGCUGAGGCGCGAAAGCGUGGGGAGCAAACAGGAUUAGAUACCCUGGUAGUCCACGCCGUAAACGAUGAGUGCUAAGUGUUAGAGGGGUCACACCCUUUAGUGCUGUAGCUAACGCGAUAAGCACUCCGCCUGGGGAGUACGGCCGCAAGGCUGAAACUUAAAGGAAUUGGCGGG